This 6428-nucleotide long non-coding RNA is filed under the name Triticum aestivum (bread wheat). RNAcentral describes it as "long non-coding RNA (TAES_LNC015893)". Lineage: Eukaryota; Viridiplantae; Streptophyta; Magnoliopsida; Poales; Poaceae. The record is from RNAcentral.
UAUAUUCGUUGGUGAUACAAUCACGGAGGGAAAAACGAAACAAGGGUCAUUUUCGAAGCAUUUUUUGUGAGAGACGAACUGAAUGAGAUAUGAAUAUUUUCCACGGUUCAAGAAAACGCAUAUUUUUUUAUGGACGCGACUAGCCAGUAACCGUUGGCUGGCUAGCGGUCCAGAGCACACACCCUAAUAUUGGUAGUGGACCUCUCCCAGAUCCAGCUGGCAAACCCAAAAAGGAAAGAAAUGGCCCCCUCACGCACAUGGCCCCCAGGGGCGAGUCUAUCACAAUCGUAACUUCAGCUCCCCCUACUGACAUUAGCAGUAGCCUCACGCCGACGCACCAAAUCCUCCUUCCCCUUUCCAGUCGCAGACCCCCAAACCUCCCCCUUGACCUCUCCUUCUCCAUCUGUCCUCUCUUCCAUUGUCACAAUUGUUGCCCCCGUUUUGGUGGCCAUGGACCUGAGGGGUGAGCUUCUAUCUUGAUGUGCCCUCUCAGACGCCUUCUCUUUUACAAAAGCCUGUGGAACGAAGGGUUUAUCAAUUAUAGAAUAUACAACAACAUGGCAGUUAAUGCUUGUGAAAUUGCAAAAAAGAACUACUGAGACAUUAUGCAUGCAAAAUAAUCUGUUUUUUAUGGGAAAGUUGGUAUGAUGUGCAGGCAACUCUGGAAUGAUUUCUAGGCAACUCAUGAUGGAAACACAGGGAAACCCCUCUCUUGAAAUUACUAUUCUAGUUUAAGCUUGGAUUUUUUGCAAGUAUCUGCAGAGUGUUGUAGGUUGCGCGAGGCUGUUGUUUUUUUGGUUGAUCUUCAAGCUUGUUAAGGCUUUUGGGAAAGUUGUGUAUAUGUGUAGGCAAUCAGGGAGAAAAUAAUGCAGGCAGCUCAUGUUUCUUGUGUUGUAGAAAAAUAAAUUAAGGAGAAAAGAGGUCUUGAAAGUUACAGGGUUUGGCUUUUAUUAGUGAAUUUUGGGGCAAAUGUCUCCUUGAACUAUAGGUUGCACAAUUGUAGUAGUAGCUGUUGUGUUUCGUUGUGAAUUUUGCUACUGGAUUUUGGGCAAUGUAUGUAUCUGGGAUUUGCUCUAACUGUAGCUGCUGUGUUGGUUGUGUUUCUAGCUGUUUACAUAUCUAGACAAGUUUCUAUAAUAUUUGGGCAAGUAGGGAAAGCUUUAUAGGCAACUCAUGUUUAUUUAGUUCUGUGAAUAAAAAGAAACAUAACCCUCUUGAAGUUAUGGUUUUAGCUUGUGCUUUGGAUUUUGGACAUGUAUCUCCUGGGGCUGAUGUGUAUGCAGGUGAAAAAGAGAUUGAUUUAUUGUCCACCCAUGCUCAAAACCCCAAUAAGCAAAAAAUAUAUAUAAAUGUUUGCACCUUUAUAUGGGUUUAUUCUAAGCAAAACUUGCAUAUAAAAUUCCAGCAAAAUUGACACAUAUUUUGCUCGCACAAUAUUUAUGUAACGAACCCACAUAUCGAAUCAGAAUGACCUAGCGUGUAGAGGAGGAAAAUAAAGAGAAGGUUUGAAUUUUUCUCACCUUGUUCAUCCUGAUUGCAACUAUUUUUCCAGUAUUUCCCCCUUGUUUCUUCCGGCAUGAGCAUCUAGUACACCACCAAUUGCGAGAAAACGGUAAAAAAGGAAUUAGUGAGCAACUAUAGCGGGUUUUUAAGCAAAUCAAGUAUUGACAAAAGGCUAGUCCUGCCAGUACAUGAAAAUUGUUUUGUUUUCCUUUGUCUAACUAUUGGAUGUUGUACAUCCAGAGAAACCCCUUGAUGCUUUUCUUAAGUUGCCUUUUAUACUAGGACUGUGUUGAGAAAACAAAAAAAUCUCCAAGCUCUAGGAUUUGUUUAAGCAAAGUCACUGUUGGCACUAAACUACUCUUGUAUGUUUGAAGCAACUCCACUUAUUUUGCUGAAACAAAAAAGUUGGAUAUCUUUCUGCGAAGCUUACUUGAAAGUGGGUGUUGAACCAUCUUGCUUGGGCGUGUGCACAAAACCUCAAAAAUGUUGCUUUGACUUUAGAAUUUAGUGAGGCCCUGUAAACAAAAAAAACAAUCUGUUUAGGCAAGAAUAUCGACAAAACCAUAUUUACAAAAACUUAGGUGAUUUAGGCAAGUACUAUUUAUAAGUAGACAACUUAUCCUGUUGGAAAACACAACUUUUGUGCAACUAAAAUCAUUUUUUUGCUAAAAAAUAUCUCUCGUCAACUCGUGCCACACUCUCUAGUAACAAACUAUCAUGCAUUGGGCAAGUUUUGGUGAAAUAAAACCCAAUGUUCUCGGUAGCGGAUCUUUGGGCAACUCACGCCAGCAUCUCUAGCAACUAACUAUCAUGCAUUGGGCAAGUUUGGACACAUUCGGCUCAAAUCAUUGACGAUUUCAGCCCCCGCAUCUCGGCAGUGGAUCAUUGUGCAACUCACACCAGCAUCUCUAGCAACUAACUAUCAUGUGUUGGGCAAGUUUUUGACACUUUCGGCUCAAAUCAUAGACGAUUCCAGCGCCCGCAUCUCGGGAGCGGAUCUUUGGCAACUUAUGCCGACAUUUCUAGCAACUAACGAUUAUGCGUUGGGCAAGUUUUUGAAACUUUUGGCUCAAGUCCGAGACGAUUCCAGCCCCCACAUAUCGAGAGCGGAUCUUUUGCAACUUACACAAGCAUCUCUAACAACUACCUAUCUUGCGUUGGGCAAGUUUUUUCGGCUAGAAUCAUCGAUGUUUCUAGCCCUCCAUCUUGGGACCGGAUCUUUGGGUGACUUAUGCAGGCAUCUAUAGCAACUAACUGUCAUGCGUUGGGCAAGUUUCAAAAACUUUCUGCUGAAAUCAUACAAGAUUCCAGCCCCCACAUCCCCAAGUCACAAACCACCGCCGCGCUCAAAAUCGUUGGUUUGCCCAUAAACAUGGGACCCCCACACCCCUCUUCAACCUCCCUAUUCCGCCUAUAUCACAUAGAAUUGUAUAUAUGAGUAGAAAAACACAUGCUUAGGGGGUCGAUUUCAAGAUACUUACGAGGAUUUGCGGGCUAGUUCCUCAACCACUCGAGAUAACGCUUUCCCAGAUCUAACUCCACCACACUAGGUGGCCGUGACGCACAGAUGGCACUGCCCCCUUGUCUCUAGAAGAAAGCAUGUUUCCUGGCUAGAUCAAUGCCCAAAAAUGUUAUAGAUUGACUAGAAGAAAGCAUGUUUUGUGGCUGCUGACUUUCUCGGUCUAGAGUACAGUCUGUAGCUUCUUACUUUUGCUCGCUUAUUGAUGUACUAAUGGUUAACAGAAGUGUCGAUAGGGGACUUGGAAGCAGCUACAACUAGGGAAGGAGAACUAGUGAAUUGAUCAAACAGAUGGAACUGUGAAUGCACACAUCAAAGCAAUAUCCUGUUGUUAACUGCAUCGUGUGUGUGGCAUCAGUGACUACUGUAAGACAAAUAAUUUUUCAUUCAGAUGCAGUGUUGAUUUUCCUGGGAGAGUUUAGUUUUAUGUGUACUAAAAAUAGUAAAACAAUAAUGCUAUAUCCUAAUGCUUUAUUAAAUCAAUGUGAUUUUGGCGGCAUUAUUCAGCAAGCACUGAUGUGCUUCUACUUGUACACAUAUCUUGUACUAUAAGAAGUUUAGAACCGAUGGAGUUGUAACUGUAUAAACCAUCCAAGUAGGUUGAACUAAUGUGUUCUUGUACAAUUUUCAAUCUAGCUGACAUGGAUACCAUAUUCAGUAGAAAUAUUUAACUAGGCAAAGCAUACCAUAUUCAAAGUUGCUUUAUCCUAUUUGUAGAGUUGCUCUAUCCGCACUGACCCCUUUUUGUGUUGCUCUUUUCAGAAGCAGGAUGAUGCAGGUGAUGUCUUUGCUCUAUGGGAAAGAACCGAUCGUCGCGUACAACUAUGCAACUUUUGAUCCACUACUAGGCAACUCUUUAUGAUAUCUUAUGCAACUCCAGUGACAAAAAAACACCCCUGGUAGCUUGUGAAACUUCUAGUCCAGUAUUUAGGCAACUACUAAUGCCAUUUUUUGGAAGAUCCUGGAACACUUAUAAAAAUGUUACUGGGCAACUCCACUGGAUAAACGAAAAUACAUAAUAAAUCUGGGCACUUUUGGUCCACCUUCGUCUUCCCCACAUGCUUCAUCUCUCUCGCCUCGUCGUCCACUACCUUCGUCUUUCCCCACGCAACCUAUCUCACACCUCACUGCCCUCCACCUACAUAGACUGUCCGAGAACGAGACACUAAGAUACGGACAAAGCCGGGACAGAAAUGCCGUUAGCCAGGACUGGACAUCCCCAAUACUGGCCCACACGCAGAGGAGACAAGGUCAAGGGGGCCCACCAGUGACGACCAUCACCACGGCACGGGCCAAUUGACCGUCACGGACACCUGGGAAGCAGGUUUCCACGAGCCAGAUCCAGCCGACGAGGAACCCCAAGACCCGUUGCCGACAAACCCUAACUCCCCCAACGGACAACCGAGACGUCGUCGGGUCCCUGCGCGCCACCACACGGACACCGUAGGCAAUGUCAGUGCACUUGAGUUGGAAAUAAAAAAUUCAGCAUUUUUUGGUGUUUUUGUGCAAAUCAAGUGCAUUCACCGGGAAACUCAUGUGUAGUCCCAACCUGACUUGGUACACCGACAAAGCAGCCAUAUAUAGAAGAAAAAACUAAAUUCACCAAGUCAGGCCUAUUGGUGGGAUACCAAACUUUGUGAUCAAUAUGCACUUAACGCCCUUGUCUAAAACAAGAAGGGGAAAAAGCAGGCAACUCCCCUGCUUGAUUGUAGGCAACUCUGAUUAUUUCUCAAAAAAACAACUUUGAUUUUGAUUGUAGGCAAGUCUAAAAUUAAAAUACUGUAGACUUGAUCUAUUAGUUAUUUAGGACAAAAGAAUGUAGACUUGAUCUAUUAGUUAUUUUGAUUAAAGGCAACAUAGUCAAUAGUAGUAUAAUUUUAUAAGUCAUUGAUCUCGGCAUUGACGAAUUUUAUGAGUACACAAUCACUAAAGCAAAAAAAUCUGAACCUGUCAGGCAACUAAGUAACCGAAACAAUGUGUACAAUACUUUAGGAUUCAUUAUGUGAGUUAUUUUGAGGCAACUACCUACAAUGUGUGGGCAAGUUUUGGCAAAAACUCACGCAACUAAGUAACAAAUGACACUGGAUUUUGCAAUCGUUUCCUGGCAUUGCUGUGACAUAAAUCUUACCGAGACAUUGCUGUGAUUUUAUCCCCUUUCCCCCAUAAAUUAUCCUGUAAGCUCUUUCUAAUACCGAGAUGCUCAGAUUCCCAGAUUAUUCAAGAAAAAAAGAGGAUCCUCUAACUAACCAUGCCACUGCGCCAGUUACUACGAGAAACCCAGCAUUCCUUUUCUGAAAUUAAAAGGAGAGCAAAGGUUACUACUAUUACCAUGUCACAUAGCUUCCACUAGAGUUCCAGUGACACACGAGGAAGACGGGGUACUCACGAAGACAAGGGGCCCGCCAAGCUAGCAGAGAAUAUGAGCUGCACGAGCGCGACAGCCUCCGGCGGCCAGCCAUAGUUUGACCUCGGCCCCUCUGAAAUCAGCAUGCUCCCACACCCCCUGUGAGGCCAAUAAGAGCUAGAUUCGAGUGGAAUAAAACACACCUGUGCGGGAAUCAACGAUGCUUACCCGUGAUUUGAGGCCCGAUUCCUCGACCGCUGAAGAUGGCACUUCUGGCUCUCACACUUCGCCGCUAGGAGUCGAGCUGCACAGACGCGCGGUGUCCCUCCCAUUCAAACCCUCGCUUCGUGGACGCGGUGGCAGAGAAGCGGCGGCCCCGGACGCCAGCCUUCUGCCUCCGCUUGGUGGUCACCGCACGCGGAGCUCAGGCCCCUCUAUCCUGGGUCGCCGAUUGGGUUGGGUUCUCUCCUCCCACUUCUAUAAUGCCUUCCCAAUCUCCGACGAACCUCUGGCAGCGCGCCUCGAAAUGAUGAAGCGGCGGUGGAUUUGGGCGAGGGGAUGAGGGGACCGCGGUGGUGGAUUUGGGAAAGGGUAAAGGAGAGUGGAGAGAGGCUGGGGGUUGUGGUGGGCCCCUGCAACCGGGGAGACAAUCUCUUCGCACGAACCACGUCCACGCCCCGACCGUGGAACACAUGGAUAUCAUGAUUUCGAUCCGACGAUCGCGGAGGGUGUGUGCUCGAGAUAGCUAAAAAGUGCAGCUGCACUUUUUAGCAUUUAGAUGCGACUAGCCAGCAACCGUUGGCUGGCUAGCGGUCCAGAGCACACACCCUAAUAUUGGUAGUGGACCUCUCCUAGAUCCAGCUGGCAAACCUAAAAAGGAAAGAAAUGGCCCCCUCACGCACAUGGCCCCCAGGGGCGAGUCUGUCACAAUCGCAACUUCAGCUCCCCUACUGACAUUAGCAUUAGCCUCACGCCGACGCACCAAAUCCUCCUUCCCCUUUCCAGUCGCAGACCCCCAAACCUCCCCUUGACCUCCCCUUCUCCAUCUGUCCUCUCUUCCAU